RNAcentral lists this small RNA (824 nucleotides) under Pan troglodytes (chimpanzee). RNAcentral's name for it is "retained intron". The record is from RNAcentral. Lineage: Eukaryota; Metazoa; Chordata; Mammalia; Primates; Hominidae.
AAAUGUAAAACACAUAUUCUGUCCCCCAAUUUCUCAGUGAUUUCACAGGCUCAGUGCUACGGCUGGAUGUGGACACAGACAUGUGCAACGUGCCUUAUUCCAUACCAAGGAGCAACCCACACUUCAACAGCACCAACCAGCCCCCCGAAGUGUUUGCUCAUGGGCUCCACGAUCCAGGCAGAUGUGCUGUGGAUCGACAUCCCACUGAUAUAAACAUCAAUUUAACGAUACUGUGUUCAGACUCCAAUGGAAAAAACAGAUCAUCAGCCAGAAUUCUACAGAUAAUAAAGGGGAAAGAUUAUGAAAGUGAGCCAUCACUUUUAGAAUUCAAGCCAUUCAGUAAUGGUCCUUUGGUUGGUGGAUUUGUAUACCGGGGCUGCCAGUCAGAAAGACUGUAUGGAAGCUACGUGUUUGGAGAUCGUAAUGGCACAGCAUGGAUUCUAGUCCUGGCGAGGAAGUAUCAUUCUCUGGAUGAAGGGGAGGGCUUUUCUCAUACUCAGGAAUUUCUUAACUCUCCAGCAAAGUCCUGUGACAAAGCAGUGGCAAGAAAAACCACUCUGUCUCGGCACUAGUGGGUCCUGUAGAGGCUACUUUUCAGGUCACAUCUUGGGAUUUGGAGAAGAUGAACUAGGUACUGUACAAUCUAGUUCUGUUAAGUUUCAUUCUCACUUCCUUUUUCAAGAGGCUUUGUUCUGCCCUGAAGAAUAAAUACAGCAAUCUUAUCCUCUACUUGUUGGAAAUGUAAUCUACAGCAAAGAUGACCUACUCCAGAGAUUAAGACAGUCCAGUUACAUAUUCUCUACCAGUAACUUUUCCCUGAGAGC